This 254-nucleotide ribosomal RNA is filed under the name uncultured bacterium. Its description in RNAcentral is "partial 16S ribosomal RNA". It matches the Rfam family "Bacterial small subunit ribosomal RNA", at positions 524 to 776 of the family's 1533-position model. The record is from RNAcentral.
UACGAAGGGAGCGAGCGUUGUUCGGAAUCACUGGGCUUAAAGCGUGCGUAGGUGGAUUGGUAAGUAAGGAGUGAAAUCCCAGGGCUUAACCCUGGAACUGCUCUUUAGACUGCCUGUCUGGAAUUCGGAAGAGGUUGGUGGAACUCCCAGUGUAGAGGUGAAAUUCGCAGAUAUUGGGAAGAACACCGGUGGCGAAGGCGACCAACUGGUCCGGACAUUGACACUGAGGCACGAAAGCGUGGGUAGCAAACAGG